AGUGAACGCUGGCGGUAGGCCUAACACAUGCAAGUCGAACGGCAGCACAGUAAGAGCUUGCUCUUACGGGUGGCGAGUGGCGGACGGGUGAGGAAUACAUCGGAAUCUACUUUUUCGUGGGGGAUAACGUAGGGAAACUUACGCUAAUACCGCAUACGACCUACGGGUGAAAGCAGGGGAUCUUCGGACCUUGCGCGAUUGAAUGAGCCGAUGUCGGAUUAGCUAGUUGGCGGGGUAAAGGCCCACCAAGGCGACGAUCCGUAGCUGGUCUGAGAGGAUGAUCAGCCACACUGGAACUUAGACACGGUCCAGACUCCUACGGGAGGCAGCAGUGGGGAAUAUUUGACAAAGGGCGCAAGCCUGAUCCAGCCAUACCGCGUGGGUGAAGAAGGCCUUCGGGUUGUAAAGCCCUUUUGUUGGGAAAGAAAAGCAGCAGGUUAAUACCCCGCUGUUCUGACGGUACCCAAAGAAUAAGCACCGGCUAACUUCGUG
Molecule: ribosomal RNA, 492 nt
Filed under: uncultured bacterium
Lineage: Bacteria
Description: partial 16S ribosomal RNA
Rfam family: Bacterial small subunit ribosomal RNA
Source: RNAcentral